RNAcentral lists this ribosomal RNA (207 nucleotides) under uncultured bacterium. RNAcentral's name for it is "partial 16S ribosomal RNA". It matches the Rfam family "Bacterial small subunit ribosomal RNA", at positions 568 to 774 of the family's 1533-position model. The record is from RNAcentral.
AGCGCAGGCGGACCGGCAAGUUGGAAGUGAAAACUAUGGGCUCAACCCAUAAAUUGCUUUCAAAACUGCUGGCCUUGAGUAGUGCAGAGGUGGGUGGAAUUCCCGGUGUAGCGGUGGAAUGCGUAGAUAUCGGGAGGAACACCAGUGGCGAAGGCGACCUACUGGGCACCAACUGACGCUGAGGCUCGAAAGCAUGGGUAGCAAACA